AAAGAAUUAGUUAAAAAUAUAACAUUAGAAUGUCAACCUAAAAUUAUUAAUCUAUUAAUAUUCUUUA
This 67-nucleotide transfer RNA is filed under the name Indosialis bannaensis. Its description in RNAcentral is "tRNA-Asp". Lineage: Eukaryota; Metazoa; Arthropoda; Insecta; Megaloptera; Sialidae. The record is from RNAcentral.